This 393-nucleotide ribosomal RNA is filed under the name Triticum aestivum (bread wheat). RNAcentral describes it as "partial small subunit ribosomal RNA". The record is from RNAcentral. Lineage: Eukaryota; Viridiplantae; Streptophyta; Magnoliopsida; Poales; Poaceae.
AUGCGUCCGUCAGUUCAGAUUGGAGAUGCAACCAUCCACACUGUUUCCGACCUAAUCGACCACGAAAAUUGGAGUUGGAGAACGGAGUUAGUAAGAUCAAAUUUCACGCCACCAGAUGCAGAUGCAAUAUUGAACAUACCACUCAGACAUGGUGGAGGUGAUGAUUUUUGGGCGUGGGCUCAUGAGAGAUCCGGGACAUAUUCUGUCAAAUCCGCGUAUCGUGCUCUAAUGACUCGUAACGAACAACAAGUUCUAGAGGAAGGGGCGAUCACUGAAUCUUCAGAGACUGAUAAACAGAUGUGGACACGGCUAUGGAAGCUCAAAAUCCUACCCAAAGUUAGGGUUUUUGGUGGCGCGUACUUCGAGGUAUUCUACCAGUGGAAACCACGCUGA